Molecule: transfer RNA, 65 nt
Filed under: Lutraria maxima
Lineage: Eukaryota; Metazoa; Mollusca; Bivalvia; Venerida; Mactridae
Description: tRNA-Trp
Source: RNAcentral
AAAGUGUUAAGUUAAAUAGACUGUAGUACUUCAAAUACUAAGGAGGGCAUGUAGCCCACAUUUUG